This 320-nucleotide ribosomal RNA is filed under the name uncultured bacterium. Its description in RNAcentral is "bacterial SSU rRNA". It matches the Rfam family "Bacterial small subunit ribosomal RNA", at positions 81 to 385 of the family's 1533-position model. The record is from RNAcentral.
UCGGCCCCGGUAAAGUGGCGCACGGGUGAGUAACACGUGGGUAACCUGCCCUCGAGCGGGGGAUAACAUUCCGAAAGGAGUGCUAUUACCGCAUAGGACCACGACCUCGAAAGGGGUUGAGGUGAAAGCUGGCCUCUGUACACAUGCUAGCACUUGAGGAUGGGCCCGCGGGGCAUCAGGUAGUUGGUGAGGUAAUGGCUCACCAAGCCUAAGACGUCUAGCUGGUCUGAGAGGAUAAUCACCCACCCUGGAACUGAGACACGGUCAAAACUUUUACGGGACCCAGCUGGGGGGAAUCUUGCGCAAUGGACAAAAGUCUG